RNAcentral lists this ribosomal RNA (269 nucleotides) under uncultured prokaryote. Its description in RNAcentral is "partial 16S ribosomal RNA". It matches the Rfam family "Bacterial small subunit ribosomal RNA", at positions 524 to 792 of the family's 1533-position model. The record is from RNAcentral.
UACGUAGGGCGCAAGCGUUGUCCGGAAUUAUUGGGCGUAAAGAGCUCGUAGGCGGUUUGUCGCGUCUGCUGUGAAAACGCAAGGCUUAACCCUGCGCCUGCAGUGGGUACGGGCAGACUAGAGUGCGGUAGGGGAGACUGGAAUUCCUGGUGUAGCGGUGGAAUGCGCAGAUAUCAGGAGGAACACCGGUGGCGAAGGCGGGUCUCUGGGCCGUUACUGACGCUGAGGAGCGAAAGCAUGGGGAGCGAACAGGAUUAGAUACCCCCGUA